RNAcentral lists this ribosomal RNA (253 nucleotides) under uncultured bacterium. RNAcentral describes it as "partial 16S ribosomal RNA". It matches the Rfam family "Bacterial small subunit ribosomal RNA", at positions 524 to 776 of the family's 1533-position model. The record is from RNAcentral.
UACAGAGGGUGCAAGCGUUAAUCGGAAUUACUGGGCGUAAAGCGUGCGUAGACGGUUGCGUAAGUCAGAUGUGAAAGCCCCGGGCUCAACCUGGGAAUUGCAUUUGAGACUGCGUAGCUAGGGUGCGGAAGAGGGAAGCGGAAUUUCCGGUGUAGCGGUGAAAUGCGUAGAUAUCGGAAGGAACACCAGUGGCGAAAGCGGCUUCUUGGUCCAGCACCGACGUUCAGGCACGAAAGCGUGGGGAGCAAACAGG